Molecule: non-coding RNA, 261 nt
Organism: Procavia capensis (Cape rock hyrax)
Lineage: Eukaryota; Metazoa; Chordata; Mammalia; Hyracoidea; Procaviidae
Source: Rfam
GACAAGGCAACUUUAUUGUUUCCAAGGAUAAUAUCUGGAGGAAUCUCGUAUACUUGGGCAUUUUUCCUCUGAUGUCCACUUGCUAUGCCCAACUAAGGAAGUAAAAAGUCUUUGAGGCAGCUACCAGGACUCAUUAGGGGUCUCUGUGAUGCUGUUUUCUGAUACUCUAGGCUGAGUGACUUCUCCAGAUUUCCCCACAUUCUUCCAGUUUUACUGGGUACAGAUUAGUUAUGAAGGGAGACUCUUCCAAGCUACCGCAAA